GUAGGGAAUAUUGGGCAAUGGAGGCAACUCUGACCCAGCCAUGCCGCGUGCAGGAAGACGGUCCUCUGGAUUGUAAACUGCUUUUGAAUGGGAAGAACAUACGGUUUGCGAACCGUACUGACGGUACUAUUAGAAUAAGCACCGUCUAACUCCGUGCCAGCAGCCGCGGUAAUACGGAGGGUGCAAGCGUUAUCCGGAUUUAUUGGGUUUAAAGGGUGCGUAGGCGGCCUUAUAAGUCGGUGGUUAAAGGUAGCAGCUUAACUGUUUUACAUGCCAUGAGUGCUGUAGGGCUUGAGUGAGUUGAGGGUAGCUAGAAUUCCCUGUGUAGCGGUGAAAUGCAAAGAUACGGGGAGGAAUACCGAUUGCGAAUGCAUGUUACUACGAAUUAACUGAUGCUGAGGCACGAAAGCGUGGGGAUCAAACAGGAUUAGAUCCCCGAGUAGUCC
Molecule: ribosomal RNA, 446 nt
Filed under: uncultured bacterium
Lineage: Bacteria
Description: bacterial SSU rRNA
Rfam family: Bacterial small subunit ribosomal RNA
Source: RNAcentral